This 902-nucleotide ribosomal RNA is filed under the name Escherichia coli. RNAcentral describes it as "partial 23S ribosomal RNA". It matches the Rfam family "Bacterial large subunit ribosomal RNA", at positions 1 to 935 of the family's 2925-position model. The record is from RNAcentral. Lineage: Bacteria; Pseudomonadati; Pseudomonadota; Gammaproteobacteria; Enterobacterales; Enterobacteriaceae.
GGGUUGUGAGGUUAAGCGACUAAGCGUACACGGUGGAUGCCCUGGCAGUCAGAGGCGAUGAAGGACGUGCUAAUCUGCGAUAAGCGUCGGUAAGGUGAUAUGAACCGUUAUAACCGGCGAUUUCCGAAUGGGGAAACCCAGUGUGUUUCGACACACUAUCAUUAACUGAAUCCAUAGGUUAAUGAGGCGAACCGGGGGAACUGAAACAUCUAAGUACCCCGAGGAAAAGAAAUCAACCGAGAUUCCCCCAGUAGCGGCGAGCGAACGGGGAGCAGCCCAGAGCCUGAAUCAGUGUGUGUGUUAGUGGAAGCGUCUGGAAAGGCGCGCGAUACAGGGUGACAGCCCCGUACACAAAAAUGCACAUACUGUGAGCUCGAUGAGUAGGGCGGGACACGUGGUAUCCUGUCUGAAUAUGGGGGGACCAUCCUCCAAGGCUAAAUACUCCUGACUGACCGAUAGUGAACCAGUACCGUGAGGGAAAGGCGAAAAGAACCCCGGCGAGGGGAGUGAAAAAGAACCUGAAACCGUGUACGUACAAGCAGUGGGAGCACGCUUCGGCGUGUGACUGCGUACCUUUUGUAUAAUGGGUCAGCGACUUAUAUUCUGUAGCAAGGUUAACCGAAUAGGGGAGCCGAAGGGAAACCGAGUCUUAACUGGGCGUUAAGUUGCAGGGUAUAGACCCGAAACCCGGUGAUCUAGCCAUGGGCAGGUUGAAGGUUGGGUAACACUAACUGGAGGACCGAACCGACUAAUGUUGAAAAAUUAGCGGAUGACUUGUGGCUGGGGGUGAAAGGCCAAUCAAACCGGGAGAUAGCUGGUUCUCCCCGAAAGCUAUUUAGGUAGCGCCUCGUGAAUUCAUCUCCGGGGGUAGAGCACUGUUUCGGCAAGGGGGUCAUCCCGAC